UACAGAGGGUGCGAGCGUUAAUCGGAUUUACUGGGCGUAAAGGGUGCGUAGGUGGUGAUGCAAGUCUGGUGUGAAAUCUCGGAGCUCAACUCCGAAAUUGCACCGGAUACUGCGUGACUCGAGGACUGUAGAGGAGAUCGGAAUUCACGGUGUAGCAGUGAAAUGCGUAGAUAUCGUGAGGAAGACCAGUUGCGAAGGCGGAUCUCUGGGCAGUUCCUGACACUGAGGCACGAAGGCCAGGGGAGCAAACGGG
This 253-nucleotide ribosomal RNA is filed under the name uncultured bacterium. Its description in RNAcentral is "partial 16S ribosomal RNA". It matches the Rfam family "Bacterial small subunit ribosomal RNA", at positions 524 to 776 of the family's 1533-position model. The record is from RNAcentral.